This 77-nucleotide transfer RNA is filed under the name bacterium. RNAcentral describes it as "tRNA-Arg". It matches the Rfam family "tRNA". From Rfam's summary of the family: Transfer RNA (tRNA) molecules are approximately 80 nucleotides in length. Their secondary structure includes four short double-helical elements and three loops (D, anti-codon, and T loops). The record is from RNAcentral. RNAcentral also lists the same sequence under 2 other names.
GCACCCGUAGUUCAACUGGAUAGAAUACCAGGCUUCGAACCUGGGGGUUGUAGGUUCGAGUCCUACCGGGUGCGCCA